UCAGAGCCUCCAUCGAAACCCCGUCCACCAACUUGUUUACCCAGAUGUUAAUUUUCUAACGAGUAUUUUUCGUUUUUACUAUUUCUACCGUAUUUCUUUGUUUGGUGUGGGAGUUAGUAGUCACCCAAAGCGUAUCUGUGUUACGUGUAGGUGCUUAUUUUGUGAAAGAAUGUUGGACUUAUAUCUCUUUAUUUUUUUUGUUGUAAUGUUUUUUUUUUCUUCUUAUUGUAAUGUUUUGUGGUCCCGGCCCGGCCGUUUUGAGUAUGAUAUAUAAACCCAGUUGACCAAUUCGUUCCCUCAGUACUACUGAAGAUUCCGCCUCUCUCUUGUGUAAUCUCUCUUUGAUGCUUCACUUGUGUGGCUCAACUCAAUUGUUAACCCGCGAGGCUCACGGCUGUGGAGAAGCUAUCGGCUUGGAUUUUCCCGUUGACGUGCUGGAACAGGUCCAGUGCUGAUUCCGGAAACUCACCAGAUUCGGCAGCAACUCAGUCUGACUCGGACACCUGUUGCACGGCAAAAUCAGGAACGGGGUCAGGUGUGGAGAGAUCGUCAGGUAUACGGUAUAGCCGUAUACACUCGAAAAUACCUGCUUAUAAUUAAUUACAGUAGUUUUUUACUUUUACUUUUUUUUUACCACGCUUUCCGUCCGUCUUUCAUUCACUGUUCUAUCAUAAAGGUAAAAUCAAUUCGUUGGAAGAUUAGUAAAUUAUGAUGUUUUUCAUGAAUUUUUAUUUAUUCGUGAAACUCUGAAGUUGUUCAGCCAUUAAACUAGGAUUAUAAGAUUACUUGAUCAACCGAUUAUGAUAUGUUGUUGUUA
Molecule: non-coding RNA, 817 nt
Organism: Salvia hispanica
Lineage: Eukaryota; Viridiplantae; Streptophyta; Magnoliopsida; Lamiales; Lamiaceae
Source: RefSeq, a predicted model, not a curated record